RNAcentral lists this ribosomal RNA (213 nucleotides) under uncultured bacterium. RNAcentral's name for it is "partial 16S ribosomal RNA". It matches the Rfam family "Bacterial small subunit ribosomal RNA", at positions 1289 to 1500 of the family's 1533-position model. The record is from RNAcentral.
CAGUUCGGAUUGCAGGCUGCAACUCGCCUGUAUGAAGUCGGAAUUGCUAGUAAUCGUGGAUCAGCAUGCCACGGUGAAUACGUUCCCGGGCCUUGUACACACCGCCCGUCACACCAUGAGAGCCGGGAACACCCGAAGUCCGUAGUCUAACCUAUAUGGAGGACGCGGCCGAAGGUGGGUUUGGUAAUUGGGGUGAAGUCGUAACAAGGUAUC